This 321-nucleotide ribosomal RNA is filed under the name Alexandrium margalefii. RNAcentral describes it as "partial Bacterial small subunit ribosomal RNA". It matches the Rfam family "Bacterial small subunit ribosomal RNA", at positions 1 to 323 of the family's 1533-position model. The record is from RNAcentral. Lineage: Eukaryota; Dinophyceae; Gonyaulacales; Pyrocystaceae.
UUGAAGAGUUUGAUCAUGGCUCAGAUUGAACGCUGGCGGCAGGCCUAACACAUGCAAGUCGAACGGAAACGAUGGAAGCUUGCUUCCAGGCGUCGAGUGGCGGACGGGUGAGUAAUACUUAGGAAUCUGCCCAGUAGUGGGGGACAACUCGGGGAAACUCGAGCUAAUACCGCAUACGCACUACGGUGGAAAGUGGGGGAUCUUCGGACCUCACGCUAUUGGAUGAGCCUAAGUCGGAUUAGCUUGUUGGUGGGGUAAAGGCCUACCAAGGCGACGAUCCGUAGCUGGUCUGAGAGGACGAUCAGCCACACUGGGACUGAG